CCGUUGUCGGUGCCGUAGGGAAGCCGUGAAGCGAGCCACCUGGGAAGUACGGCCGCAAGGCUGAAACUUAAAGAAAUUGGCGGGGGAGCACCACAACGGGUGGAGCUUGCGGUUUAAUUGGAUUCAACGCCGGAAAUCUUACCGGGACCGACAGCAAUAUGAAGGCCAGGCUGAAGACUUUGCCGGAUUAGCUGAGAGGUGGUGCAUGGCCGUCGUCAGUUCGUACUGUGAAGCAUCCUGUUAAGUCAGGCAACGAGCGAGACCCACGCCCACAGUUGCCAGCGUACUCUCUGGAGUGACGGGUACACUGUGGGGACCGCCGCUGCUAAAGCGGAGGAAGGAAUGGGCAACGGUAGGUCAGUAUGCCCCGAAUAUCCCGGGCUACACGCGAGCUACAAUGGUUGGUACAAUGGGUAUCUACCCCGAAAGGGGACGGGAAUCUCCUAAAACCAAUCUUAGUUCGGAUUGAGGGCUGCAACUCGCCCUCAUGAAGCUGGAAUCCGUAGUAAUCGCGUUUCAACAGAACGCGGUGAAUACGUCCCUGCUCCUUGCACACACCGCCCGUCAAACCACCCGAGUAGGGUCUGAAUGAGAGCGCUUUCUUUGGAGGCGUUCGAAUUUGGGCUUUGCAAGGGGGGUUAAGUCGUAACAAGGUAGCCGUA
RNAcentral lists this ribosomal RNA (662 nucleotides) under uncultured archaeon. RNAcentral's name for it is "bacterial SSU rRNA". It matches the Rfam family "Archaeal small subunit ribosomal RNA", at positions 789 to 1451 of the family's 1478-position model. The record is from RNAcentral.